Molecule: small nucleolar RNA, 107 nt
Filed under: Arabidopsis thaliana (thale cress)
Lineage: Eukaryota; Viridiplantae; Streptophyta; Magnoliopsida; Brassicales; Brassicaceae
Also listed under: 2 other names
Description: Plant small nucleolar RNA R71
Rfam family: Plant small nucleolar RNA R71
About the family: R71 is a member of the C/D box family of snoRNAs containing the C (UGAUGA) and D (CUGA) box motifs. Multiple nearly identical copies of this snoRNA have been identified in Arabidopsis, and it is thought to function as a 2'-O-ribose methylation guide for 18S ribosomal RNA.
Source: RNAcentral
AAUCCGUGAUGAGGGCAUUUGGUUUGAUAACCCUUGAAGCGCUCCCAAGCUUCGCAGAAACUUUCAUUUGGCUUCUGAGUGAAUCCGGACAUCUCAUUCCGGAGUCU